CCUACGGGAGGCAGCAGUGGGGAAUUUUGGACAAUGGGCGCAAGCCUGAUCCAGCAAUGCCGCGUGAGUGAAGAAGGCCUUCGGGUUGUAAAGCUCUUUUGUCAGGGAAGAAACGGUGGGGGCUAAUAUCUCCUACUAAUGACGGUACCUGAAGAAUAAGCACCGGCUAACUACGUGCCAGCAGCCGCGGUAAUACGUAGGGUGCAAGCGUUAAUCGGAAUUACUGGGCGUAAAGCGUGCGCAGGCGGUUUUGUAAGUCUGUCGUGAAAGCCCCGGGCUCAACCUGGGAAUUGCGAUGGAGACUGCAAGGCUUGAAUCUGGCAGAGGGGGGUAGAAUUCCACGUGUAGCAGUGAAAUGCGUAGAGAUGUGGAGGAACACCGAUGGCGAAGGCAGCCCCCUGGGUCAAGAUUGACGCUCAUGCACGAAAGCGUGGGGAGCAAACAGGAUUAGAUACCCUGGUAGUCCACGCCCUAAACGAUGUCUACUAGUUGUCGGGUUUUAAUUAACUUGGUAACGCAGCUAACGCGUGAAGUAGACCGCCUGGGGAGUACGGUCGCAAGNUUAAAACNCAAAGGAAUUGACGG
Molecule: ribosomal RNA, 585 nt
Filed under: uncultured bacterium
Lineage: Bacteria
Description: bacterial SSU rRNA
Rfam family: Bacterial small subunit ribosomal RNA
Source: RNAcentral